AGUUAACGCUGGCGGCGUGCCUAACACAUGCAAGUCGAGCGAAGCGUACCAGAGUAUCGGGCGCUUAGCGGCAGACGGGUGAGUAACACGUAAACUAUCUGCCCUCGAAUGGGAGACAACCGGGCGAAAGUCUGGCUAAUACCCCAUACAAUCCCCUUAAAGCAUUUUAAGGGGAUGAAAGGCCCGCAAGGGUCGUUCGAGGAGGAGUUUGCGGCCUAUCAGCUAGUUGGCGGUGUAACGGACCACCAAGGCUAUGACGGGUAGCCGAUCUAAAAGGAUGACCGGCCACAAGGGCACUGAGACACGGGCCCUACUCCUACGGGAGGCUG
Molecule: ribosomal RNA, 329 nt
Filed under: uncultured Elusimicrobia bacterium
Lineage: Bacteria; Pseudomonadati; Elusimicrobiota; Elusimicrobia
Description: bacterial SSU rRNA
Rfam family: Bacterial small subunit ribosomal RNA
Source: RNAcentral